AGCGAACGCUGGCGGCAGGCUUAACACAUGCAAGUCGAGCGGGCAUCCUUGUGGUGUCAGCGGCAGACGGGUGAGUAACGCGUGGGAACGUGCCCUUCGGUUCGGAAUAACUCAGGGAAACUUGAGCUAAUACCGGAUACGUGCGAGAGCAGAAAGGUUUAUCUGCCGAAGGAUCGGCCCGCGUCCGAUUAGCUAGUUGGUGAGGUUAUGGCUCACCAAGGCGACGAUCAGUAGCUGGUCUGAGAGGAUGAUCAGCCACACUGGGACUGAGACACGGCCCAGACUCCUACGGGAGGCAGCAGUGGGGAAUAUUGGACAAUGGGGGCAACCCUGAUCCAGCCAUGCCGCGUGAGUGAUGACGGCCUUAGGGUUGUAAAGCUCUUUUCUCCGGGACGAUAAUGACGGUACCGGAGGAAUAAGCCCCGGCUAACUUCGUG
Molecule: ribosomal RNA, 437 nt
Filed under: uncultured bacterium
Lineage: Bacteria
Description: partial 16S ribosomal RNA
Rfam family: Bacterial small subunit ribosomal RNA
Source: RNAcentral